GAAGUGGAAGUGCGGUGACGUAUGAAGCGGACCAUUACUAAUCGGUCGAGGACUUAACCAAG
Molecule: ribosomal RNA, 62 nt
Filed under: Ligilactobacillus agilis
Lineage: Bacteria; Bacillati; Bacillota; Bacilli; Lactobacillales; Lactobacillaceae
Description: Lactobacillus agilis partial 23S ribosomal RNA
Source: RNAcentral